RNAcentral lists this small nucleolar RNA (83 nucleotides) under Nelumbo nucifera (sacred lotus). RNAcentral's name for it is "Small nucleolar RNA R16". It matches the Rfam family "Small nucleolar RNA R16". Rfam says of the family: snoR16 is a member of the C/D class of snoRNA which contain the C (UGAUGA) and D (CUGA) box motifs. The record is from Rfam by way of RNAcentral. Lineage: Eukaryota; Viridiplantae; Streptophyta; Magnoliopsida; Proteales; Nelumbonaceae.
GAAGGUAAAUGAUGCAAAUUGUUCUUAUCCUACACUCUGAACUGCAAUGCAGACCAUAACUCCGCUUAUUAUCUGAUGCCUUC